CUGCCCAGUGACUAUACGUUAAACGGCCGCGGUAUUUUGACCGUGCAAAGGUAGCGCAAUAAAUUGUCUCUCAAUUGGAGACUAGUAUGAAUGGCACCACGAGGGCUUAACUGUCUCCCCUCUAAAGUCAAUGAAAUUGAUCCCCCCGUGCAGAAGCGGGGAUACGCUCGUAAGACGAGAAGACCCUAUGGAGCUUUAGACAUAAAGUCAACCCAUGUUAAACACCUUAAAAAGAAAUAAACAGACUGGACCUUGCUAAUACAUGUCUUCGGUUGGGGCGACCAUGGGGAAAGACAAAACCCCCACAUAGAUUAGGACUACUCAGUCCUAAAACAUAGACCCACAGGUCACAGUAACAGUACCUCUGACCACUAAAGACCCGGCACAAGCCGAUCAAUGGACCUAGUUACCCUAGGGAUAACAGCGCAAUCCUCUCCAAGAGCCCCUAUCGACGAGAGGGUUUACGACCUCGAUGUUGGAUCAGGACAUCCUAAUGGUGCAGCCGCUAUUAAGGUUCGU
Molecule: ribosomal RNA, 519 nt
Filed under: Myctophum punctatum (spotted lanternfish)
Lineage: Eukaryota; Metazoa; Chordata; Actinopteri; Myctophiformes; Myctophidae
Description: partial 16S ribosomal RNA
Rfam family: Bacterial large subunit ribosomal RNA
Source: RNAcentral